AUUGAACGCUGGCGGCAGGCCUAACACAUGCAAGUCGAGCGGAUGAAGGGAGCUUGCUCCUGGAUUCAGCGGCGGACGGGUGAGUAAUGCCUAGGAAUCUGCCUGGUAGUGGGGAUAACGUCCGGAAACGGGCGCUAAUACCGCAUACGUCCUGAGGGAGAAAGUGGGGGAUCUUCGGACCUCACGCUAUCAGAUGAGCCUAGGUCGGAUUAGCUAGUUGGCGGGGUAAAGGCCUACCAAGGCGACGAUCCGUAACUGGUCUGAGAGGAUGAUCAGUCACACUGGAACUGAGACACGGUCCAGACUCCUACGGGAGGCAGCAGUGGGGAAUAUUGGACAAUGGGCGAAAGCCUGAUCCAGCCAUGCCGCGUGUGUGAAGAAGGUCUUCGGAUUGUAAAGCACUUUAAGUUGGGAGGAAGGGCAGUAAGUUAAUACCUUGCUGUUUUGACGUUACCAACAGAAUAAGCACCGGCUAACUUCGUG
This 483-nucleotide ribosomal RNA is filed under the name uncultured bacterium. RNAcentral's name for it is "partial 16S ribosomal RNA". It matches the Rfam family "Bacterial small subunit ribosomal RNA", at positions 30 to 507 of the family's 1533-position model. The record is from RNAcentral.